GAAGGACCCAAGCGUUAUCCGGAUUUAUUGGGUUUAAAGGGUGCGUAGGCGGGUUAUUAAGUCAGUGGUGAAAGCUCCGAGCCCAACUCGGAAAUUGCCAUUGAUACUGAUGUAUCUGAGUACAUUUGAGGUGGGCGGAAUGUGUCAUGUAGCGGUGAAAUGCUUAGAGAUGACACAGAACACCGAUUGCGAAGGCAGCUCACUAAACUGUAACUGACGCUGAGGCACGAAAGCGUGGGGAGCAAACAGGAUUAGAUACCCUGGUAGUCCACGCCCUAAACGAUGAUCACUCGAUGUGUGCGAUACACUGUACGCGUCGAGCGAAAGCAUUAAGUGAUCCACCUGGGGAGUACGGCCGCAAGGCUG
RNAcentral lists this ribosomal RNA (366 nucleotides) under uncultured organism. Its description in RNAcentral is "bacterial SSU rRNA". It matches the Rfam family "Bacterial small subunit ribosomal RNA", at positions 527 to 896 of the family's 1533-position model. The record is from RNAcentral.